This 74-nucleotide transfer RNA is filed under the name Ulva prolifera. Its description in RNAcentral is "tRNA-Gly". It matches the Rfam family "tRNA". Rfam says of the family: Transfer RNA (tRNA) molecules are approximately 80 nucleotides in length. Their secondary structure includes four short double-helical elements and three loops (D, anti-codon, and T loops). Lineage: Eukaryota; Viridiplantae; Chlorophyta; Ulvophyceae; Ulvales; Ulvaceae. The record is from RNAcentral.
UGCGGAGUUCGUAUAGUGGUAAUACCUCAGCCUUCCAAGCUGAAGCUAGGGGUUCGAUUCCCCUACUCCGCUAA